Capsicum annuum is the source of this 738-nucleotide long non-coding RNA. RefSeq lists it as uncharacterized. NCBI's taxonomy places the organism in Eukaryota, Viridiplantae, Streptophyta, Magnoliopsida, Solanales, Solanaceae. The transcript has 4 exons. The record is from RefSeq and is a predicted model, not a curated record.
AGCUAAAAACCACUAAAAUGAGUUUUUUUCUAUUCAAAAUGAAAACUAAUAUUUUGCGUAUAAUUUCUUGAACUGGAAAGGUAUGUAGCCGACACCCCGGGCCGUCUCGAGGAAAUUUAUGUUGUAUAUUUCAGACAUACUGUUAAGUUUACUGAUUUAAUGGUGCCAUGCCUGCAAGGAUCACCCUACAAUUCUCUUUCGAUAGACUGGAUCCUUGAUUGAUAUAGAGGAAAAACCUCAAUUUUUGAAACUACAAGAGUGACACAUCAAAUCGAUUGUAUGAGGAACAACAUGAAGGAUGGAAAUUUCAAAGCGUGCAAAAUAGCAUUUGAGCAUAUCAAAAGGGAAAGUGAGAUUCUGUAGCUCAAACUGGAGAAUUACCUCAAGGUUCUUUUUAAAAUCGUAUAAUAGUUUCUUAUCUUUUGCAUCUAUUUUGUCACUGUUGUAAUCACUCCGUCUCUAUGAAUUCUGAUAGCGAGUGAAUGUGACGUCUCCGGUUAAUCAGUGACAUCAGUAGGUAGUCAGUGAAGUAAUUGGAUUUAGAAGAUUAAGUAUGUAAUAGAAACAAAUGGGAAUAAGAGGGCAAAUUCAAUUUUUCUUUUUCUUUGUAUCCCUAUUUGUAGUGCUAAAAAAAUGGAGUCACUGAUUUAAGUUCUAGUUAUAAUAAUGUGACUUUGUAAUCUGUUUUCAUAUUGUUACUUGUUGCUUAGUGAAAGUAUUUGGAAUUGUCUCUUUCAA